GACGAACGCUGGCGGCGUGCUUAACACAUGCAAGUCGAACGAUGAAGCUGGAGCUUGCUCCGGUGGAUUAGUGGCGAACGGGUGAGUAACACGUGAGCAAUCUGCCCUUCACUCUGGGAUAACUGCGGGAAACUGUAGCUAAUACCGGAUACGAGACCUUGGGGCAUCCCAGGGUCUGGAAAGAAUUUCGGUGAAGGAUGAGCUCGCGGCCUAUCAGCUAGUUGGUGAGGUAAUGGCUCACCAAGGCGACGACGGGUAGCCGGCCUGAGAGGGGGAACGGCCACACUGGGACUGAGACACGGCCCAGACGCCUACGGGAGGCAGCAGUGGGGAAUAUUGCACAAUGGGCGGAAGCCUGAUGCAGCAACGCCGCGUGAGGGAUGAAGGCCUUCGGGUUGUAAACCUCUUUUAGUAGGGAAGAAGCGCAAGUGACGGUACCUACAGAAAAAGCACCGGCUAACUACGUGCCAGCAGCCGCGGUAA
This 483-nucleotide ribosomal RNA is filed under the name uncultured bacterium. RNAcentral describes it as "partial 16S ribosomal RNA". It matches the Rfam family "Bacterial small subunit ribosomal RNA", at positions 28 to 523 of the family's 1533-position model. The record is from RNAcentral.